Molecule: ribosomal RNA, 445 nt
Filed under: uncultured bacterium
Lineage: Bacteria
Description: bacterial SSU rRNA
Rfam family: Bacterial small subunit ribosomal RNA
Source: RNAcentral
GAUGAACGCUAGCGGCAGGCCUAAUACAUGCAAGACGAACGGCAAGAUUUUUAGCAAUAAAGAUCCUAGAGUGUCGUAAGGGUGCGUAACACGUAUGCAAUCUGCCCUCAACAGGAGGAUAGCUCCCCGAAAGGGGAAUUAACACUCCAUAAGAUCAUGGUGCGGCAUCGCACAGUGAUUAAAACUACGGUGGUUGAGGAUGAGCAUGCGCAUGAUUAGUUAGUUGGCGGGGUAAUGGCCCACCAAGACGAUGAUCAUUAGGGGAACUGAGAGGUUGAUCCCCCACACUGGCACUGAGAUACGGGCCAGACUCCUACGGGAGGCAGCAGUAGGGAAUAUUGGACAAUGGGUGCGAGCCUGAUCCAGCCAUGCCGCGUGCAGGAAGACGGCCUUCUGGGUUGUAAACUGCUUUUGCCAGGGGAUAAAACGUCCAUGCGUGGAUAAU